RNAcentral lists this ribosomal RNA (459 nucleotides) under uncultured bacterium. Its description in RNAcentral is "partial 16S ribosomal RNA". It matches the Rfam family "Bacterial small subunit ribosomal RNA", at positions 338 to 795 of the family's 1533-position model. The record is from RNAcentral.
CCUACGGGAGGCUGCAGUGAGGAAUAUUGGUCAAUGGUCGGGAGACUGAACCAGCCAAGCCGCGUGAGGGAUGAAGGUACAGAGUAUCGUAAACCUCUUUUGUCAGGGAACAAAGGCGGGGACGUGUCCCCGGAUGAGUGUACCUGAAGAAAAAGCAUCGGCUAACUCCGUGCCAGCAGCCGCGGUAAUACGGAGGAUGCGAGCGUUAUCCGGAUUUAUGGGGUUUAAAGGGUGCGCAGGCGGUCUGUUAAGUCAGCGGUCAAAGCCCGGGGCUCAACCCCGGCCCGCCGUUGAAACUGGCAGUCUCGAGUUGGAGAGAAGUAGGCGGAAUGCGCGGUGUAGCGGUGAAAUGCAUAGAUAUCGCGCAGAACUCCGAUUGCGAAGGCAGCAUGCCGGCUCCACACUGACGCUGAGGCACGAAAGCGUGGGUAUCGAACAGGAUUAGAUACCCGUGUAGUC